This 460-nucleotide ribosomal RNA is filed under the name uncultured bacterium. Its description in RNAcentral is "partial 16S ribosomal RNA". It matches the Rfam family "Bacterial small subunit ribosomal RNA", at positions 338 to 795 of the family's 1533-position model. The record is from RNAcentral.
CCUACGGGAGGCAGCAGUGAGGAAUAUUGGUCAAUGGACGAGAGUCUGAACCAGCCAAGUAGCGUGAAGGAUGACUGCCCUAUGGGUUGUAAACUUCUUUUAUAUGGGAAUAAAAUGUUCCACGUGUGGGAUUUUGUAUGUACCAUAUGAAUAAGGAUCGGCUAACUCCGUGCCAGCCGCCGAGGUAAGACGGAGGAUCCGAGCGUUAUCCGGAUUUAUUGGGUUUAAAGGGAGCGUAGGUGGAUUGUUAAGUCAGUUGUGAAAGUUUGCGGCUCAACCGUAAAAUUGCAGUUGAAACUGGCAGUCUUGAGUACAGUAGAGGUGGGCGGAAUUCGUGGUGUAGCGGUGAAAUGCUUAGAUAUCACGAAGAACUCCGAUUGCGAAGGCAGCUCACUGGACUGCAACUGACACUGAGGCUCGAAAGUGUGGGUAUCAAACAGGAUUAGAUACCCGUGUAGUC